Molecule: long non-coding RNA, 489 nt
Filed under: Mustela putorius furo (domestic ferret)
Lineage: Eukaryota; Metazoa; Chordata; Mammalia; Carnivora; Mustelidae
Description: lncRNA (ENSMPUG00000030371.1)
Source: RNAcentral
AACCCUCAGUUUGUGAGGGUGUGCAGUCUUUGACUAGACUGGUAUACAGGGAAUAAAUUCACUGGCAAGUAAAUCUGAUUUUUUUUUUUUUUUUUUUUUUUUUUUUUUUUAAAGAUUUUAUUUAUUUAUUUGUCAGAGAGAGAGUGAGUGAGAGCGAGCACAGGUAGACAGAGUGGAAGGAAGAGUCAGAGGGAGAAGCAGGCUCCCUGUGGAGCAAGGAGCCCGAUGUGGGACUCGAUCCCAGGACGCUGAGAUCAUGACCUGAGCCGAAGGCAGCUGCUUAACCAACUGAGCCACCCAGGCGUCCCGCAACAACAAGACUUUGGCUCAAAGGACUAGGAGUUGGGAAGUGAAAAGGUCUGACCCAGGAACAUUUCUCCAUCCUUCCUUUACUGAAGCUCUUUCCGUCUAGUGUAUUGAGGACAAAAAAGUGAGAUGGGAGAAAAGGGUAAGUCAAAUGACUCUUACUUAAUUGGGGUUGGUCUUUUC